Molecule: ribosomal RNA, 520 nt
Filed under: uncultured bacterium
Lineage: Bacteria
Description: bacterial SSU rRNA
Rfam family: Archaeal small subunit ribosomal RNA
Source: RNAcentral
AACCUCCGCAAUGUGAGAAAUCGCGACGGGGGGAUCCCAAGUGCCAUUCUUAACGGGAUGGCUUUUCAUUAGUGUAAAGAGCUUUUGGAAUAAGGGCUGGGCAAGACCGGUGCCAGCCGCCGCGGUAACACCGGCAGCUCUAGUGGUAGCAGUUUUUAUUGGGCCUAAAGCGUCCGUAGCCGGUUUAAUAAGUCUCUGGUGAAAUCCUGUAGCUUAACUGUGGGAAUUGCUGGAGAUACUAUUAGACUUGAGACCGGGAGAGGUUAGAGGUACUCCCAGGGUAGAGGUGAAAUUCUGUAAUCCUGGGAGGACCGCCUGUUGCGAAGGCGUCUAACUGGAACGGUUCUGACGGUGAGGGACGAAAGUUAGGGGCGCGAACCGGAUUAGAUACCCGGGUAGUCCUAACUGUAAACGAUGCGGACUUGGUGUUGGGUGGCUUUGAGCUGCUUCAGUGCCGAAGGGAAGCUGUUAAGUCCGCCGCCUGGGAAGUACGGUCGCAAGACUGAAACUUAAAGGAAUU